CGCACAUUGCACCUCUUGGUAUUCCUUGAGGUAUGUCUGUUCGAGCGCCGUUUUAAACUUAAGACUUUGUCUUGUAUUGAUUUUCUCUGAAUUGAAAGAGUAAUCGAAAUGUAUGAGCAUUGACUAUUGCUGAAAACAUAGCAAAAUAUGUUGGAAACCAAUAGAAUAUCGCUAAAUUUCAAACAAAAACAUGGCCUCGGAUCAGAUAGGGAUACCCGCUGAACUUAA
Molecule: unclassified non-coding RNA, 228 nt
Filed under: Dothideomycetes sp.
Lineage: Eukaryota; Fungi; Ascomycota; Dothideomycetes
Description: partial contains 5.8S ribosomal RNA, internal transcribed spacer 2, and large subunit ribosomal RNA
Source: RNAcentral